This 639-nucleotide ribosomal RNA is filed under the name Listeria monocytogenes. Its description in RNAcentral is "bacterial SSU rRNA". It matches the Rfam family "Bacterial small subunit ribosomal RNA", at positions 875 to 1515 of the family's 1533-position model. Lineage: Bacteria; Bacillati; Bacillota; Bacilli; Caryophanales; Listeriaceae. The record is from RNAcentral.
GGGGAGUACGACCGCAAGGUUGAAACUCAAAGGAAUUGACGGGGGCCCGCACAAGCGGUGGAGCAUGUGGUUUAAUUCGAAGCAACGCGAAGAACCUUACCAGGUCUUGACAUCCUUUGACCACUCUGGAGACAGAGCUUUCCCUUCGGGGACAAAGUGACAGGUGGUGCAUGGUUGUCGUCAGCUCGUGUCGUGAGAUGUUGGGUUAAGUCCCGCAACGAGCGCAACCCUUGAUUUUAGUUGCCAGCAUUUAGUUGGGCACUCUAAAGUGACUGCCGGUGCAAGCCGGAGGAAGGUGGGGAUGACGUCAAAUCAUCAUGCCCCUUAUGACCUGGGCUACACACGUGCUACAAUGGAUAGUACAAAGGGUCGCGAAGCCGCGAGGUGGAGCUAAUCCCAUAAAACUAUUCUCAGUUCGGAUUGUAGGCUGCAACUCGCCUACAUGAAGCCGGAAUCGCUAGUAAUCGUGGAUCAGCAUGCCACGGUGAAUACGUUCCCGGGCCUUGUACACACCGCCCGUCACACCACGAGAGUUUGUAACACCCGAAGUCGGUAGGGUAACCUUUAUGGAGCCAGCCGCCGAAGGUGGGACAGAUAAUUGGGGUGAAGUCGUAACAAGGUAGCCGUAUCGGAAGGUGC